This 484-nucleotide ribosomal RNA is filed under the name uncultured bacterium. RNAcentral describes it as "partial 16S ribosomal RNA". It matches the Rfam family "Bacterial small subunit ribosomal RNA", at positions 30 to 507 of the family's 1533-position model. The record is from RNAcentral.
AUUGAACGCUGGCGGCAGGCCUAACACAUGCAAGUCGAGCGGAUGAAGGGAGCUUGCUCCUGGAUUCAGCGGCGGACGGGUGAGUAAUGCCUAGGAAUCUGCCUGGUAGUGGGGGAUAACGUCCGGAAACGGGCGCUAAUACCGCAUACGUCCUGCGGGAGAAAGUGGGGGGUCUUCGGACCUCACGCUAUCAGAUGAGCCUAGGUCGGAUUAGCUAGUUGGUGGGGUAAAGGCCUACCAAGGCGACGAUCCGUAACUGGUCUGAGAGGAUGAUCAGUCACACGGGAACUGAGACACGGUCCAGACUCCUACGGGAGGCAGCAGUGGGGAAUAUUGGACAAUGGGCGAAAGCCUGAUCCAGCCAUGCCGCGUGUGUGAAGAAGGUCUUCGGAUUGUAAAGCACUUUAAGUUGGGAGGAAGGGCAGUAAGUUAAUACCUUGCUGUUUUGACGUUACCAACAGAAUAAGCACCGGCUAACUUCGUG